AUUGAACGCUGGCGGCAGGCCUAACACAUGCAAGUCGAGCGAAGCGGGGACGGGUGAGUAACACGUGGAUAACCUCCUAUAAGACUGGGAUAACUUCGGGAAACCGGAGCUAAACCGAAUACUUAUCGAUGGAUCCACGCUGCAUUAGCUAGUUGGUAAGGUAACGGCGUACCAAGGCAACGAUGCAUAGCCGACUUGAGGGGGUGAUCGGCCACACUGGACCCGAGACACGGUCCAGACUCCUACGGGAGGCAGCAGUAGGGAAUCUUCCGCAAUGGGCGAAAGCCUGACGGAGCAACGCCGAGUGGGUGAUGAAGGUCUUAGGAUCGUAAAACUCUGUUAUUAGGGAAGCGGUACCUAAUCAGAAAGCCACGGCUAACUCCGUGCCAGCAGCCGCGGUAAUUC
Molecule: ribosomal RNA, 405 nt
Filed under: uncultured bacterium
Lineage: Bacteria
Description: partial 16S ribosomal RNA
Rfam family: Bacterial small subunit ribosomal RNA
Source: RNAcentral